GGGUAUUUUGAUGGCCAUAAUAAUGCCUGACCACCUGCCAUCGAUGGAAAGCUGAAUACCCCAAAAGGGGACCUCGUGAAACUAAAGAGAAACAAACAUACUCCUUACCCUGCAGCCCUCACGUCUGAGGUGCCAUACGCACAGUCAAAGCUUCUUCAAGAUCAUCUGCUUAUCUUGAGUUUGUGGUGAUAUUAAUAUUGAAUGUUUAAAUGAUCUGAAUCUGUCAGUACUAGGGUAGCAUGAGACAAGAUUUCUAAGAAUAAGUAAAUGUGCCCUAGCCUAGGUUAUUAUGUCCAUACACAUAACACAUGACAAUCCCCAAGGUACUCUUGACACACCUCAUUCAUGCUUCAGGACAAAAAGGAGUACCCCUAUAAAGGGUGGUUUUACCCACACAUACAUAUAUAUGUAUAUUAAUGCCAUAGGGGUGUCAAGGGGGGUACCAAAUAAUUUUAAGGUAAGAAACUAAGUUUGAAUCUAUUCUCCCAAGCAUUACAGCUAAUAAAAUCUGAAUUGGAAGGGAAGAGGUUUAUACAAUAAACAGGAGACCUUUUUCUUACAGGACAUGUAUGACUCAGCUGAAUGGGUAGGUGCCACGCACAUGACUGUUAAUCCCCUCAAACGACACAUUAGGACUUUAAAAGACAUGGUAGUCAUCCCAUAUUUGAGGAUAAGAGGGCUGUAGAGACAGGUUUCUCUGACACUAACUUGUGACUUGAAUGGAUGAAAUACAAUGCUACUAAACAUAACAAGUCUAACUGCUAUGUCUGCAGAGGAGCGAGGCCUCACCCAGGUACAGUAUCCCUGAACCUUCCUCCGGAUAUGAAGUGUGCGUUUUAAGUCUCUACACUGUAUUUAAACCUAAGCGGUCAGCAUGCGAGUCAUGGAAACUUAAUACCCAAUCAUUACUAAAAAUAUUAACCCAGACGAAGGCAUUACUAUAUAGCCCGGGAACUAUACUUGUUAUGGGAUAUAUGGUGGGAUAGGGCGGUUACAAACUAUCUCUCAGAUGACCUUCCAGAAUAGAAUAAGCUUGGAAAUGAUUUUAGCAGAAAAAGGGAGAGUAUGUAAAAUACUCCCAGACACCAUGACAUGCUGUACCUAUAUUCCAGAUAAUACAGGCCCUAAUGGUAAGGUAACGUUGGCAAUAGAAAAGUUAAAGAGUUUGUCCAAUGAACUGAAACGAAAUUCUGGGGCCACAGAUCCAUGGGAAAGAUGGUUUGGAUGGAUGUCUGGAUGGCAAGGUGCUUUGGCCCAAAUAGGUGUUGCCAUUUUAAUAACGAUAAUCAUCCUCGCUCUUCUUGUUUGUUGUGUGUUACCCUGUCUUAAGAAAUGCCUACAAAAGACAGUUGAUCAGGCAAUCGACCAGACCACCCCGACCUUCCUUCACCAAGAGAUUGACGAUAUCGACCGUGAUACACCACAUACACCCUUACAGUCCCACCGCACUAAAUCAACAGCUACUUCCUCUUAAGGACAUUUAGGGAUAGCG
This is a non-coding RNA of Pelobates cultripes (western spadefoot toad), 1492 nucleotides long. Lineage: Eukaryota; Metazoa; Chordata; Amphibia; Anura; Pelobatidae. The record is from the annotation of a GenBank genome assembly.